GACGAACGCUGGCGGCGUGCUUAACACAUGCAAGUCGAGCGGUAAGGCCCUUUCGGGGUACGACGAGCGGCGAACGGGUGAGUAACACGUGGGUGACCUCGCCUCAGCUCUGGGAUAAGCCUGGGAAACCGGGUCUAAUACCGGAUAUGACUCCAUGACGCAUGUUGGUGGGGUGGAAAGCCUUGUGCGGCUGAGGAUGGGCCCGCGGCCUAUCAGCUUGUUGGGU
Molecule: ribosomal RNA, 226 nt
Filed under: uncultured bacterium
Lineage: Bacteria
Description: partial 16S ribosomal RNA
Rfam family: Bacterial small subunit ribosomal RNA
Source: RNAcentral